RNAcentral lists this ribosomal RNA (253 nucleotides) under uncultured bacterium. Its description in RNAcentral is "partial 16S ribosomal RNA". It matches the Rfam family "Bacterial small subunit ribosomal RNA", at positions 524 to 776 of the family's 1533-position model. The record is from RNAcentral.
UACGUAGGGUGCGAGCGUUAAUCGGAAUUACUGGGCGUAAAGCGUGCGCAGGCGGUUCGUUAUGUCCGAUGUGAAAGCCCCGAGCUCAACCUGGGAAUGGCAUUGGAUACUGGCUCGCUAGAGUGCGGUAGAGGGUGGUGGAAUUCCCGGUGUAGCAGUGAAAUGCGUAGAGAUCGGGAGGAACAUCUGUGGCGAAGGCGGCCACCUGGACCAACACUGACACUGAGGCACGAAAGCGUGGGGAGCAAACAGG